This 258-nucleotide ribosomal RNA is filed under the name uncultured prokaryote. RNAcentral describes it as "partial 16S ribosomal RNA". It matches the Rfam family "Bacterial small subunit ribosomal RNA", at positions 524 to 782 of the family's 1533-position model. The record is from RNAcentral.
UACGUAGGGGACGAGCGUUGUCCGGAAUUACUGGGCGUAAAGGGCGCGCAGGCGGUAUAUCAAGUCAGCUGUCAAAGACUGGGGCUCAACCCUGGUAUACGGUUGAAACUGAUAUGCUGGAGUGCUGUAGAGGCAAGUGGAAUUCCCAGUGUAGCGGUGAAAUGCGUAGAUAUUAGGAGGAACACCAGUAGCGAAGGCGGCUCUCUGGACUGUAACUGACGCUGAGGCACGAAAGCGUGGGGAGCAAACAGGAUUAGA